AGAGGGAAUCCGGUGUGACUCCGGAACUGUCCCGCAGCGGUAUGUCGAAACGACCGCCGUCACAUGCACUGGGCCCCGCGCCCGGGAAGCGACGGCCAGUAGGUUCCGCGGAGUGAUCCGCGCCUGUCGACGAGUCCGAAGACCU
Molecule: non-coding RNA, 145 nt
Filed under: Gordonia sputi
Lineage: Bacteria; Bacillati; Actinomycetota; Actinomycetes; Mycobacteriales; Gordoniaceae
Source: RNAcentral